GACGAACGCUGGCGGCGUGCUUAACACAUGCAAGUCGAACGGAAAGGCCCUUCGGGGUACUCGAGUGGCGAACGGGUGAGUAACACGUGGGUGAUCUGCCCUGCACUUUGGGAUAAGCCUGGGAAACUGGGUCUAAUACCGAAUAGGACCACGCGCUUCAUGGUGUGUGGUGGAAAGCUUUUGCGGUGUGGGAUGGGCCCGCGGCCUAUCAGCUUGUUGGUGGGGUAAUGGCCUACCAAGGCGACGACGGGUAGCCGGCCUGAGAGGGUGACCGGCCACACUGGGACUGAGAUACGGCCCAGACUCCUACGGGAGGCAGCAGUGGGGAAUAUUGCACAAUGGGCGCAAGCCUGAUGCAGCGACGCCGCGUGAGGGGUGACGGCCUUCGGGUUGUAAACCUCUUUCAAUAGGGACGAAGCGCAAGUGACGGUACCUAUAGAAGAAGCACCGGCCAACUACGUG
RNAcentral lists this ribosomal RNA (462 nucleotides) under uncultured bacterium. RNAcentral describes it as "partial 16S ribosomal RNA". It matches the Rfam family "Bacterial small subunit ribosomal RNA", at positions 28 to 507 of the family's 1533-position model. The record is from RNAcentral.